This 2118-nucleotide long non-coding RNA is filed under the name Nicotiana tabacum (common tobacco). RNAcentral describes it as "long non-coding RNA (NTAB_LNC017605)". The record is from RNAcentral. Lineage: Eukaryota; Viridiplantae; Streptophyta; Magnoliopsida; Solanales; Solanaceae.
AAAAAUCAUCGAUCUUGAAGACAUGGAAAGCAACAAUUGCAAGGUAAACGACUUUUUCGAAUUUUAAAUAUGGAAAAACAUACUUACUCAAGCCCCUCCCAGAGUUUUUAAACUUUUGUUCGAAUGUUCUAUACCAAUAUUCGAUCCCAAAACUUGAUAAAAUUGAAUCCCUGGUUCUUGGUAAAUACAUUGUUCUUGAUUUCUCUAGUUUUGAUUCCAUGUUCAAUUGCAAGUGCUCCGGAUACGCCACUCUGUUUAAGAACUCUUAGCUAGAUGAUCUUGAAGUUUCGAUUGAACAAUAAAGAAAUACAUUGCUAAAGCAUCCACUGACCCUCUCCCAAAUCAACUAGGCCAAACAAUAUCAAUUUUGAAACCAGAAUUGUUGCUACCACUAUUCUUCCUAAAAGAGCUUCCUUUUCUACUCUGUCUCAGCCAGAUAUAUUCCUAGCCUACUUCUUACUCGCUAAAGACAGGGUCAAACUCUUGUCCUAGGUGAUUUACGUUAUGCUCGAAAGUGCUGAUGACCCAACUAGUCUCCCAUACAACAUGAUCAUCACCCGUCUAUUGGAAGCACAUCAAAAUCUCUCUCAAACCUUCCGUUCCUUCUCGUGCCUAAGUGUUAUAACUCUAUAGACUUUGUUAACAUGGGGUACAUAUCUACGGAAGGAAUAUAGGUGAAGAAGCAUGAGACCGAAGGCAAGACCAUAACAACCCACUCCAAGGCAAAAGCUUCAACCUCUCACUCAUUUGAUCCAGAACUCUCCGCAAGAUUGGUGGAGAGAUAAAAAAUUUAAAACUGUCAAGGAACUUCUUGCUGCUACCAGACAAUGGUGGAAGACAUCAGGGAAAUAUAAAAGGAAGCCAAAUCUGAUACCUCAAAAAUUCGAGUCAAGUUGGAACGAAUGGCACAGGAGCCAGUUGGUGCAUUCAGGGAAGUGCAUGACUGUAUUGAUUGAUGGAAUCUCAAUCAUCAUGACAGCAAACUAUCAUCAGGCUGAAAGACGCCAUCUAAUACACCUUACUUACUUCCUUUGUUGAUUUUGUAUGGUUGUUUUAACAAUUUAUAUUUUUUGGUAUGUUUUGUGGAUGUUCUGAACACUCAGUAGCUUAGUCGACUACAUGGUGCUUAGACUUAUGUUUUUUCUGAUCUUAGAUAAUUACUUAAGUCGGGUGCUUCCAUGGUUAAGUUAGCUACUUAUAUGCAUAUAUUAUUAUCUCUUCUGUACUUUUAUUUUUGUUGAUGCAAAAGAGGGUGAGGAAUUAUAUCAGGAGGAACAUCAAUUCAGGGGGAGCACAUACUCAAGGGGAAAAGAUCCACACGCUCAUGUCAGGGAAGUAUCAUAAGUUGAUCAUCCUUAAUUAAUGUUCAAAUUAUUAUCAUCAAAAGGAGGGAGAUUGUUAGCCUUGUUUUAAUAAUGACAUCACUUGUAAAAUUGCAGGAUCAUAUUGAUGAAGGACAAUUCACUUGUGCAAAAAGAAAAAGGAAAAAAAAGAAUGUCUGUCGCACGAGGAAAAGUAAGACAGUGGAUCAUAAGGAAAGAGAGUCAAUCAAAAGCUGGAAGUUAGCAACUUAACAAGGAAAGAAGAAUCCGAAGAAUCAAUCAAGAGCUGAAAGAUAGCGGCUUACAUGGUAAGAAGAAUCAAUCAUUCAAUAAGAAAUCCCGCCAGCACAAAUCAAGCAAUUGAUGGAGUUUAUUUACUAAGAAUGACCUAAUUCAAAGCAAUCCAGAAAGGAAGCAUAUAUGUGAAAAUUAAGCAGCAUCUUGGAAGGCUUCAACUUUAUUUUUGGAAUAUCUUUCAAAGACCAAAUCUCUUGGUUGUCAUCUCUCUGUCAGCAGUAGAUUAAGGAAAUUAUCUGCUGAAUAUUUAUAACUCCAACGGCCUCCUUCUGUGUAUUUAAAAAGAUGAAGUACUCCAUGAUAAGAUAUACUUUCAUCUAACUAAUAUCAAGCUCUUUGUUCUACUCUUAGCAAGCAUUGUAAUUUCAUUGAUUUACUGUGUAAAGAGAGAUAGAAAGAGAGGGGAAGCAUUGUAUCAAAAUCUUAGAGAACAAGAUAGUGACGUGCAAAGAAGUCACAAAACCCUCUUGUAACAAAGUUUGAUAAGGAGCCAUCAUAG